Molecule: transfer RNA, 85 nt
Organism: Erwinia billingiae
Lineage: Bacteria; Pseudomonadati; Pseudomonadota; Gammaproteobacteria; Enterobacterales; Erwiniaceae
Rfam family: tRNA
About the family: Transfer RNA (tRNA) molecules are approximately 80 nucleotides in length. Their secondary structure includes four short double-helical elements and three loops (D, anti-codon, and T loops).
Source: Rfam
GGUGAGGUGUCCGAGUGGCUGAAGGAGCACGCCUGGAAAGUGUGUAUACGGCAACGUAUCGAGGGUUCGAACCCCUCUCUCACCA